RNAcentral lists this ribosomal RNA (460 nucleotides) under uncultured bacterium. RNAcentral's name for it is "partial 16S ribosomal RNA". It matches the Rfam family "Bacterial small subunit ribosomal RNA", at positions 338 to 795 of the family's 1533-position model. The record is from RNAcentral.
CCUACGGGAGGCAGCGGUGAGGAAUAUUGGUCAAUGGCCGGAAGGCUGAACCAGCCAAGCCGCGUGAAGGACGAAGGUGCCAAGCAUUGUAAACUUCUUUUGUCAAGGGACAAAAUCAGGCUCGAGAGCCUGACCGAGGGUACUUGAAGAAAAAGCAUCGGCUAACUCCGUGCCAGCAGCCGCGGUAAUACGUAGGAGGCAAGCGUUAUCCGGAAUGACGGGGCGUAAGGGGUGCGUAGGUGGUUUGACAAGUUGGUAGCGUAACUCCGGAGCUCAACUUCGGAACUACUACCAAAACUGUUGGACGCGAGUGCAGGAGGGGCAACUGGAAUUUCUAGUGUAGCGGUGGAAUGCGUAGAUAUUAGGAAGAACACCGGUGGCGAAGGCGAGUUGCUGGACUGUAACUGACACUGAGGCACGAAAGCGUGGGGAGCAAACAGGAUUAGAUACCCGAGUAGUC